UGAAGACAGAUGUAGUCCUGGCAUUCCUCAAGCUUAUAGUCUAAUAGGAACGUCUACACUGAGAAAGAAAAAAAAGAAAAGAAGGAAGAAAAGAAGAAACCCUUCUCUGACACUUCAUAGACAAAAAACAAGAGGAGAUGAUUAUUUAAGUUCAUCAGUGGGAAUGGCACCUGCCCUGUCCUACUCUGGUUACUAGGGAAGUAACAGACUCCUUGGAAAAAACAACGUUGAGAUGGAGAGGGAAGGGGUGAAACUGGGAAAUGCUAAAUCUGAAUUCAGAGUAUCUGGCCUCAUCAUUCAGAUAUUUUAAGGAAUAAAGGAAGUUGACGGGUGGAAAUCUGAAGGUGAAUUAAAUAAUUGGAAGUUAUGAUGAAUUGCCAUUCCAUCUGUGUAUUGCCUUUAAUCUCUGGUCUGGCUCUUCUACCUGCCACAUGAAUUGAAAACUGAGUUUUUGGAGCCGGGGAUUUCUGGAAGAUGUGGAAUGGGAGAAAGCCUGAGGUGGUGAUAAGCCAGCAGCUUUCCCUGGUGCAAAGCUGAGCAGGUGCACAGCAUCAGGCCUGAUUUGGGCUGCUCACAUCCAAGCUUCAGACUCUCUUAAGAUGCUUUUCUGGGGAACACAUUCUUCACUCUCCACUCCCUUCAUCUGUACUUCAUUGUAAAAAAGGAAGUUAAACCAAAACGAAAUAAAUGUUAAGAUAGAACCUCA
Molecule: long non-coding RNA, 706 nt
Organism: Homo sapiens (human)
Lineage: Eukaryota; Metazoa; Chordata; Mammalia; Primates; Hominidae
Exons: 4
Source: RefSeq, a predicted model, not a curated record